UGCCAGCAGCCGCGGUAAUACGGAGGGAGCUAGCGUUGUUCGGAAUCACUGGGCGUAAAGCGCACGUAGGCGGACUGAUCAGUUGGGGGUGAAAUCCCAGGGCUCAACCCCGGAACUGCCUCUAAUACUGCUAGUCUUGAGCUCGAGAGAGGUGAGUGGAAUUCCGAGUGUAGAGGUGAAAUUCGUAGAUAUUCGGAGGAACACCAGUGGCGAAGGCGGCUCACUGGCUCGAUACUGACGCUGAGGUGCGAAAGCGUGGGGAGCAAACAGGAUUAGAUA
RNAcentral lists this ribosomal RNA (279 nucleotides) under uncultured bacterium. Its description in RNAcentral is "partial 16S ribosomal RNA". It matches the Rfam family "Bacterial small subunit ribosomal RNA", at positions 506 to 784 of the family's 1533-position model. The record is from RNAcentral.